UUUUUAAAGCUCUCUUCCCUUCCCCACCUUGAGUGUACAAUGGAGAGUGCUAGUGUGGUGUCACAUGGUGCAACAUGGCUCAGUGUUGUGUGAAACUAAGAUUUGGGGCAUAUUUUAUAAUGAACAUAACAUAUGAGCAUAACAGUCGUGAUUAACGUAUACAAUUAAAGAUAUGUGGAAAUGACUCCAUCUCCGACCACACAUCCUCUGAGUAAUUUUGAUGGGGAUGGCUUAUGUUCUACUGCCACCUCGUGGUGGGCAUUCUGUGAACAUGCAUCUUGGAACAGUGGGGAGAACCAGUUUGGACUUCUGAGGAUCCAAAAGCCCAAGAAAAAAAUCUGAGUUCUCACGACAAAGUCACUUCCUGCUACAACACCUGGAAAAUGUCAUGACCCGAGCUAGUCUCACUUCAGAGUCCCUGGUUUCUAGUACGGUGCCUGACAGAUAGAUGACUUUCUUUAUAUGUUGCUGAAGACAGGCAGAGAGGAAGAAAGGAAGAGAGGAUAAAGGGAGGAAUAAACUUGAUAUAAGCAUCUUUGCAUAAUUAACAACUGGGUCAAAUUUUCUUCAUUUCAUUGAGAUUCUUGAUACAAGCCUCUGCUGAUGAAUUGGAUUCCAAAAAGGUAGUUACAAUUUACAUUUAUGCCAAGUGCAAGCACAUACAUUUAUUACAUCUUUGCUAAAAUCAUAAUUAUCUUUAAAACUUUGCCCAA
Homo sapiens (human) is the source of this 713-nucleotide long non-coding RNA. Ensembl annotates it as long intergenic non-protein coding RNA 2401. NCBI's taxonomy places the organism in Eukaryota, Metazoa, Chordata, Mammalia, Primates, Hominidae. The record is from Ensembl.